Molecule: unclassified non-coding RNA, 386 nt
Filed under: Hevea brasiliensis (rubber tree)
Lineage: Eukaryota; Viridiplantae; Streptophyta; Magnoliopsida; Malpighiales; Euphorbiaceae
Source: RNAcentral
GCUCACCGACGGCGACGGCGUGGUUGAGGAGGUGGAAGAGGAAGCGGUGCUGGUGGAGUUAAUGUUCAUCCAGAGAGGAAGAACAGUGGAAGACGACGUCGUGGAACUGACCGAUCCAAGGGAAAGGAGCGGAUCGGCGUCAGGGAUGGGAAGACGAGGCAUGACGUUAGCCAAGGGCGACGGAGGCGGGGGAGGAGGAGAGUGAAAGGCAGCGGCGUAAAGCUUAGGCUGAACGUAUUUCUCAGCGAAGGUCUCUAAGAUAUGGUCGUAAGGACCUUGAAGCGCCUUCUCGGGGGAGGAAACAGCAGCAGCAAUGGGAAUAUUCCCGUCGGCGGAAGUGUGAUAAUCCCGCCUCUGGGUUAAGUUCUGCGCCUUCUGCAACUGCU